GGCACGAUGGUGAAGAGGAAACACGGCUGUCUGCAAAACAGCUAUGCGAGGGUUCGAUUCCCUCUCGUGCCUCAA
This 75-nucleotide transfer RNA is filed under the name Candidatus Woesebacteria bacterium RIFOXYA1_FULL_43_9. RNAcentral's name for it is "tRNA-Cys". It matches the Rfam family "tRNA". Rfam says of the family: Transfer RNA (tRNA) molecules are approximately 80 nucleotides in length. Their secondary structure includes four short double-helical elements and three loops (D, anti-codon, and T loops). Lineage: Bacteria; Candidatus Woeseibacteriota. The record is from RNAcentral.